Non-coding RNA from Triticum aestivum (bread wheat), 136 nucleotides. The record is from Rfam. NCBI's taxonomy places the organism in Eukaryota, Viridiplantae, Streptophyta, Magnoliopsida, Poales, Poaceae.
UGUGUACUCCCUCCGUUCCAAAAUACUUGACUUCCAUUUGUCCAAAAAUGGAUGUACCUAUAUACUAAAACAUGUCUAGAUACAUAUAUAUUUUGACAAAUAGAAGGCAUGUAUUGUGCAACGGAGGGAGUAUAAU